CUUGCCUCCAGGAGCUUGGGGUCUUCACAUCCCUGCCGCAGCGAGCCAUCUCCGUCUCACAGGACGGACAUGGACAUAGCCUUAGAGGGCAGACUUGAAGGUGCUUGUUCUGACCCCUGAGGGUGUCGCAUCCGAGGCUCUGAGGUCAGCAGAGGCAUUGCCCACUGCAAUCCCAGAGCUUCACGUGGAGGGGCAGAACAUUUUGUUCCAGCUCUACUGUAGAGUGAAAUAUCGAAUCACAUUGAGGGCCGGAGAUUUAGCUCAGUGGUUCUGUCACCUGCCUCGCAAGCACAAGGUCCUGAGUUUGAUCCCUGGUACCAAAAAAAAAAACCCCAAAUCAAAUCACAUUGAUAGUAAAACAGGACACCUGGAGAGAUGUUUAUGCUGACAGUAGGUGCCCUCAUCCCCCAAGAGACUGUGCAUCUGGAGAUAGGGUGGGCUUGAGGGCCUUUCGGGAUCCUGCCAGUAGGGUUGAGGGAGCUGAGGACCUGCAUGCCGCUGCUGCUGAGUCUGGCAGUGCCCCACAUUCUGAGUGCAGAAGGGACCCCCGAGAGGUGGGCAUUCUAUUGCAGGCUAUAAACCUGAAAUCAACUGACAGCGGACUUCUAGAGAUUUUGAUUCAGCCUAACUGAAACAUCUGCAUUUCCAUGAACUGCUUUGUCCCCUCCCUGCCAGAGUUAUCCUGGGGAGAAUUGGUCUGGAUUAGCCCUCAGGCCUCUCUCCUGCCAAGACUGCCCAUGGGCAGACCCGGCCAGGUGGUUCCUCGGGCCUUUACUUGGUCCUAAGGUCAGUGGAGGAUUUGGCCAUGAAUAAGUUUGUAAACCACUCCGGGCAUGGUGGAACAUGCCUGGAAUUCUAGCUAUUUGGGUGGCUGAGGCAGAAAGAUCACAAGUUCAAGGCCAGUCCGGAUAACUUGGCAAGACUCUUCCUGAAAAAAGAAAAAGGACUGAGGAUAUAGCUCAGUCCUCCGUGCUUCCAGUUCCCUGAAAAGGGGGCGGGGGCCUUACAACCCAACCAUCUUCGUUAAGAAGUUACCCAAAACGAAAAGCCAAUUUUUUUGUACUGGGGAAGAAACUCAGGACCUUCGAGGCAGGCACAGUGCCACUGAGCUAAUCCUCAGCCCAAGACAAAACUUUUUGGACAUGGGGAACCUGAGUCCCACCCUGAGUGUGGUGCUUCUCAGUCUCCCCCACCCCGAAUUCCCCCCUGAAGUAGCCUGAACCUCAGACAAGAACAAAUGGGAACCUGGGGUUGGGAAGGGUCUAGAAGGGCUGUAUAGACCAUAAUACAUUUUCUAAAUCCUGCCUGAUUCUCAAGGUGAA
This 1322-nucleotide long non-coding RNA is filed under the name Heterocephalus glaber (naked mole-rat). Its description in RNAcentral is "lncRNA (ENSHGLG00100050806.1)". Lineage: Eukaryota; Metazoa; Chordata; Mammalia; Rodentia; Bathyergidae. The record is from RNAcentral.